Molecule: ribosomal RNA, 983 nt
Filed under: Pezizomycetes sp.
Lineage: Eukaryota; Fungi; Ascomycota; Pezizomycetes
Description: eukaryotic LSU rRNA
Rfam family: Eukaryotic large subunit ribosomal RNA (bases 454-983)
Source: RNAcentral
UUGCUUCCAUGGGACCUGGAACAAGCGUCCACAUCGGCCCUCAACGCUGGUGAGCGCCCAUGGGAGGAGUAAUGAUAACCCUUCUUUGAAGUGAAGUUAGUCUGAAAAUGUUACAGUAAACGUUAAAACUUUCAACAACGGAUCUCUUGGUUCUCGCAUCGAUGAAGAACGCAGCGAAAUGCGAUAAGUAGUGUGAAUUGCAGAAUUCAGUGAAUCAUCGAAUCUUUGAACGCACAUUGCGCCUUCUGGUAUUCCGGGAGGCAUGCCUGUUCGAGCGUCAUCAAAAACCUUCAGUCUCUGAUUUUUAAAGUCAAAGGUUGGUCUUGCUUUGGAGGUGUCAGCUUCCUCUGCGAAAUUCAAUGGCGAAAAGCCACGCAACCAGCGCGUAGUAAAUUCAACCUCGCAAUGGGAACGUGAGCGCUUCAGCCAAACCCCCCCAAUACUCCAUGUUUUUGACCUCGGAUCAGGUAGGGAUACCCGCUGAACUUAAGCAUAUCAAUAAGCGGAGGAAAAGAAACCAACAGGGAUUGCCUUAGUAACUGCGAGUGAAGCGGCAAAAGCUCAAAUUUGAAAUCUGGCGCCUUUGGCGUUCGAGUUGUAAUUUGGAGAGGCAUCUUCGGUUUGGUCACCGGUCCAAGUUCCUUGGAACAGGGCGUCACAGAGGGUGAGAAUCCCGUGUCUGGCUGGUUGCACCAUUCCAUGUGAAGAGUCUUCGACGAGUCGAGUUGUUUGGGAAUGCAGCUCAAAAUGGGUGGUAAAUUUCAUCUAAAGCUAAAUAUUGGCGAGAGACCGAUAGCGCACAAGUAGAGUGAUCGAAAGAUGAAAAGCACUUUGAAAAGAGAGUUAAAAAGUACGUGAAAUUGUUGAAAGGGAAGCGCUUGAGACCAGACUCAAUUUUCGGUAAUCAGCGGUCCUUUUGGGCCGUGCACUUGCCGUUCUUUGGGCCAGCAUCGGUUCUGGCCGCGUGAUAAAGAUCUUGGGAA